RNAcentral lists this ribosomal RNA (292 nucleotides) under uncultured eukaryote. Its description in RNAcentral is "partial 18S ribosomal RNA". It matches the Rfam family "Eukaryotic small subunit ribosomal RNA", at positions 6 to 323 of the family's 1831-position model. The record is from RNAcentral.
GGUUGAUCCUGCCAGUAGCAUAUGCUUGACUUGGAGAUUAAGCCAUGCAUGUCUAAGUAUAAGUUAUAUAUGGCGAAACUGCGAAUGGCUCAUUAAAACAGUUAUAAUUUAUUUGAUGAUUUUUUUACAUGGAUAACCGUGGGAAACUGGGGCUAAUACAUGCGUAAAUGCCGAAAGGCUGUAUUUAUUAGUUUCAAUCCAAUAUAACUCCGUUAUUUUGCGAGGAAUCAUAAUAACUAAUCAGAGCGUAGCAAUACGCCGCAUCAUUCAAGUUUCUACCCUAUCAGCUCUC